Camelina sativa (false flax) is the source of this 305-nucleotide non-coding RNA. The record is from RefSeq and is a predicted model, not a curated record. NCBI's taxonomy places the organism in Eukaryota, Viridiplantae, Streptophyta, Magnoliopsida, Brassicales, Brassicaceae.
UGAUUCUUUUCUUCUAAAGAAGACGAAGAUGAAGAAGAUUACUACUAUCAAGAAUGCUGAUAAAGAUACUCCUAGUAACAAUGAAAAAAAGAAGAAGAAGGUCUGGGAGAAGAAAUGGGAAACUGUGGAACUUUAUUGUUCACAGAGAAAUAUUGAUGUUGAUGUGAGAUGAAUGAGAAGUUCAAGAGGACAGAGAUCUAAGAAUAUCUUUAUUUUAUUUUAUUUCCUCCCUCUGUAACAAUGUUGACUUUAUGAUUUUCUUCCAUCUUUGGCUUCUACGUAUAUGGAAAUAUCAUAUUUUUUUC